GCGAUCGAUCAUAGAAUCAAAGAAACGUCUCGCAGACGAUAUCGGGACCCGCUGCCAGCGGAAUUACUGGGAGCAUUGUGAGCGCACGCGGCAACCUGUAACGCGACCGCGAACGGGACAAUCUCACGCGAGAAAUUAUCGGAAAGAUCAACCUCUUGACCUCUAAUAUCGUAUCUAAGUCGAGCUACAUUUCAAAUAAAAUUUGACAGAAGUAAAUGUUAUUCAAUUCUUUUGGGUUGGAGUUCAAUGUUGUUGUUCUGUUAUCAAUAUUUAUGCUUUGAAGUGAAUAUCGAUGUAGAUGGAAUUCUUCGUUUGCAGUGAAUUAUGGAUGACAAAGUAAUUCUAGUGAGUGCUGGUGUGAAAUAAAUUAUUCAAUUGUUUGAGUGCAACGUGUGAACAAUUUUGCAGAGGAUGGUGCAAUUCGAAGAGUUUGACAUAUGAAAAUGUCAUUUUCUAUUUCUAAUUACUUUCUUUGGAUAUGGACCCCAUGUUCUCAAGUUUCCUAAGGUAUAAUUUACUGCACAGACUCGGAAAACUGGCAGGAACGGAAGGCUGCGAUACUUUCUCACGCACGACGGAAGCCGACAAUUCAACGACGGGAAAGUUAAUCGCAGGAAAGCACGUGUCCUCGCGGCCCCUGACCGAGAUACGGUGCGGAUCCGUGAAGCAUCCGAGGAAGAGGCGCGAAUCUCCUCGAGGAAUGCGGCGAAUGCAACGACUGCACCGGCCCCUAAUGACCGCCAUUCACCGGCACCCUCUUCCAACUUUUUCAUCGGAUCAGCCGUCCCGAAAGCGCGGCCGAAUGUUAUUCGAGCCCCAGAAUCAUUGGAAGUCUCGAUGGUUUUCGAGUGCUUCCCCGAGGACCCUCAAGCCUUUACUCGCUUUCCAGGCCGCGGACACGAAAUAUGCGAAUUUUAUGUCUACUUUUCCCUCGACCCACCCCCCGCACCGCUUCGCCGCCCUGAAUCAUUCAUUUCGCUACCGGAUACGACCGUCUCUCUCCUUUCUCAGUAAUUUUGUAACCGGGGGAAAAUGUUUCGUCGCCGGAAACGUUGAUCGAUCGAGGAUUUUAUGCGACAUUCUUGAGGUUUUAUCUUCCUUGGAACGCGAUUAACCCUUCGCGGGGAUUUUCUGACGAUAUUAAAGCUUUUAGCGUAGAAAGACGCAUUACAGAUCGAAUUUUUGAAUGUUACGAAACGAAGAGAAGCUAAUCUUCCGUUAUUAUAACAACUGAAUUAUUUUACUUAUGUUUGUAUAGAUCAUUAACGUUAAAACUACCCAGCGUUUGAUAUGAUUAUAAAACUUGUAACAAUAGAUUUAUUUUCGGUGUCAUCGUAUACUCGUUACAGUAUUCAAGCGAAACUAUUUCUCAAACCAAUCUGGAGGUUCAACACUUUCAAACCAUCAAUAAUCGGGAAAUAAGAAAACUGAAAUCCGUCAUUUCGACGGGUGCGGUAUCUCUAUGUUAAUAUCGUGACACUGAAACAUCCAUUGUGUUUUUCGAUGCGAUUCGUUUCAACUGGAUCAGAAUAUGAACGGAUAUGCCGAAAAUUGGAAUUAAGGGACAGUUACGGAAAUGUAUGUAUGUGGAUUGCAACUCAGCAGAAUAAUCACGUUCGAAUAAUUUAUAUAAGCCGCAAUUAAUCAUUUUACCUUCUUUCGCGAAUUCAUGAAACUCGAAUCGAGAACAGCAUUAUACACAAGCGGAACAUGCGAAACGUCCCAGAAUUUUGUCCGGUUGUUUUAUAACAGAAUGUAAACAUACCGGUUUGUGUUCCAUUUCGCCGUUCCGCGAUUCAACGUGAAAUCACUCUGUGAACGGAGGGUCGGGAGCAAGCGGGGGCCAAGCUCGUAAUCCGAGCGGUCGUUUUGUAUCGAAAUUAUAUUGAACCGAGCAGUCGGUUAUCCUCGUUUUCAUAUAUAACAUCGGAAAGCGUAUUAUUAAAUUUGGCCCACUGUUUUCGUUUCGACCGGCCGACAAAUUUAUCUACGCCAUUCGUGUAUCGGACAGACGAUCCGCGAACGUAACGCAUUUACUUUUGAACCCUAUUGUCGUCGAUUUCGUUGAAUUACCCAAACAAAGGGAAAAAGAGAACAAAGUGUAUUUUUACCGAUAUUCGUUACCUAACAGCACGAUUGACAUUUCGAAUACCAAUUGUACAAUUUUGAACCUGAAAUAGUAUGUUUAUUUUCUCACUCGUUAUAUAAGAAUGAAGAAUUUUAGGUAAUAAUGGCUCACGGGAGGCGAAAGUAAAACCUUCACGCUUUAUAAUGAGUUAAGGAAGAAUAUUGUAUAACUUUCUGAACAAAGUUACUGGAGUUCGA
Molecule: non-coding RNA, 2325 nt
Organism: Nomia melanderi (Alkali bee)
Lineage: Eukaryota; Metazoa; Arthropoda; Insecta; Hymenoptera; Halictidae
Source: RefSeq, a predicted model, not a curated record